This 253-nucleotide ribosomal RNA is filed under the name uncultured bacterium. RNAcentral's name for it is "partial 16S ribosomal RNA". It matches the Rfam family "Bacterial small subunit ribosomal RNA", at positions 524 to 776 of the family's 1533-position model. The record is from RNAcentral.
GACGUAGGGCGCGAGCGUUGUUCGGAAUUACUGGGCGUAAAGGGCUCGUAGGUGGCCAACUAAGUCAGACGUGAAAUCCCUCGGCUUAACCGGGGAACUGCGUCUGAUACUGGAUGGCUUGAGUUUGGGAGAGGGAUGCGGAAUUCCAGGUGUAGCGGUGAAAUGCGUAGAUAUCUGGAGGAACACCGGUGGCGAAGGCGGCAUCCUGGACCAACACUGACACUGAGGAGCGAAAGCCAGGGGAGCAAACGGG